This 497-nucleotide ribosomal RNA is filed under the name uncultured bacterium. Its description in RNAcentral is "partial 16S ribosomal RNA". It matches the Rfam family "Bacterial small subunit ribosomal RNA", at positions 28 to 507 of the family's 1533-position model. The record is from RNAcentral.
GACGAACGCUGGCGGCGUGCCUAAUACAUGCAAGUUGUGCGCUGAAGGUUGGUACUUGUACCAACUGGAUGAGCAGCGAACGGGUGAGUAACGCGUGGGGAAUCUGCCUUUGAGCGGGGGACAACAUUUGGAAACGAAUGCUAAUACCGCAUAAAAACUUUAAACACAAGUUUUAAGUUUGAAAGAUGCAAUUGCAUCACUCAAAGAUGAUCCCGCGUUGUAUUAGCUAGUUGGUGAGGUAAAGGCUCACCAAGGCGAUGAUACAUAGCCGACCUGAGAGGGUGAUCGGCCACAUUGGGACUGAGACACGGCCCAAACUCCUACGGGAGGCAGCAGUAGGGAAUCUUCGGCAAUGGACGAAAGUCUGACCGAGCAACACCGCGUGAGUGAAGAAGGUUUUCGGAUCGUAAAACUCUGUUGGUAGAGAAGAACGUUGGUGAGAGUGGAAAGCUCAUCAAGUGACGGUAACUACCCAGAAAGGGACGGCUAACUACGUG